This 492-nucleotide ribosomal RNA is filed under the name uncultured bacterium. RNAcentral describes it as "partial 16S ribosomal RNA". It matches the Rfam family "Bacterial small subunit ribosomal RNA", at positions 29 to 507 of the family's 1533-position model. The record is from RNAcentral.
AGUGAACGCUGGCGGUAGGCCUAACACAUGCAAGUCGAACGGCAGCACAGUAAGAGCUUGCUCUUACGGGUGGCGAGUGGCGGACGGGUGAGGAAUACAUCGGAAUCUACUUUUUCGUGGGGGAUAACGUAGGGAAACUUACGCUAAUACCGCAUACGACCUACGGGUGAAAGCAGGGGAUCUUCGGACCUUGCGCGAUUACAUGAGCCGAUGUCGGAUUAGCUAGUUGGCGGGGUAAAGGCCCACCAAGGCGACGAUCCGUAGCUGGUCUGAGAGGAUGAUCAGCCACACUGGAACUGAGACACGGUCCAGACUCCUACGGGAGGCAGCAGUGGGGAAUAUUGGACAAUGGGCGCAAGCCUGAUCCAGCCAUACCGCGUGGGUGAAGAAGGCCUUCGGGUUGUAAAGCCCUUUUGUUGGGAAAGAAAAGCAGCAGGUUAAUACCCCGCUGUUCUGACGGUACCCAAAGAAUAAGCACCGGCUAACUUCGUG